Long non-coding RNA from Acanthopagrus latus (yellowfin seabream), 1024 nucleotides. RefSeq lists it as uncharacterized. NCBI's taxonomy places the organism in Eukaryota, Metazoa, Chordata, Actinopteri, Spariformes, Sparidae. The transcript is spliced from 3 exons. The record is from RefSeq and is a predicted model, not a curated record.
UCGCCUCACCUCCCGUAGGGUCCAUCAGAGGAGGCGUAACUUCGGCUCUCUUCUCAGUGGAGCUGCACAACCAAGGAGUAAACUCAGAAGAUCAUAAAGUGUUAUGUGCCAGGCGAGCAGACAUGAUACACACACUCAGGCAAGUACGUGAAUGCAAGCCACCAUUUCUGUAGCCUGUGGGUGCAAUAGAAUUAAACAGCGAGAGAAAGACGACCCCCUUCUGUUUGAGCGCGCCUCUGCUCAAAACAACCACGAGCUACCAGUCUGACGAAGCUCUACAUGAGCACAUCCGUGUACAUCAGCAUAUCACAUCUCUUCUCUCCUCUUCUAUGAGUUUUUCUCCUCCUUCCUCGCAGUAGGUAUUGCUGCGCUCAGUCCUCCACAGGCACGAUGUUUGGUUACUACUGUGCUCAUGGAGACGCUCUGAUAAACCCGCUAUCAUCUCGUUGACGACUGACGUUUGUUAGCUCCAGCUGUGUGGAGCGGAGCGUGUUGAGCGUGUUUGAGCCCUUCGUCUCGUCGGAGCUUUGACGUGUUACGACACUCACUGACCGAAAUACAGUAACAUCCAGAUGUGAACUGCUUAGUGGGUUGCUGACACUGCUGUUCCGGCUGAGAACUCCACUUGACUCCUAGCACAGUUGUCGGAUGUGAAAUGGCCUCUGGACAGGUGUGACUGUGAGGCAUCAUGGGAGCUCGAGUUUUGAGCACAGCGUGGAGAGAAAAGCAGGAAGAAAAGUAGAGUGAAUAAAAAUCCAAAUGAGGUAGAUGACAGGGAGGGAGAGGAAAGACCAGCAGUGGAGGAAACACUGAAGUAAAACUAGCAAUACUGCAAAUGCUCUUAUACUUUGUAAAUGUAAUGCAGGGUAGUUUCACAUAAAACAAUAUGGCGUGUAACACGUCUCCUGUCUAAGCGGUCAGUCAUUGGCUGUAGACUCUAGUGAGGGCAAAGAAGCUCCUGAGUAACUUGUAUUUGCACUUUGUUAUUUAACAUCUCUGCAAUUUUGUGCUUAAGACUGUCAGA